CCUACGGGAGGCAGCAGUGAGGAAUAGUGGUCAAUGGACGAGAGUCUGAACCAGCCAAGCAGCGUGAAGGAUGAAAGCCCGAUGGGUUGUAAACUUCUGUGAUAUGGGAAUAAAAUGUGCCACGUGUGGGAUUUUGUAUGUACCAUAUGAAUAAGGAUCGGCUAACUCCGUGCCAGCAGCCGCGGUAAUACGGAGGAUGCGAGCGUUGUCCGGAUUUAUUGGGUUUAAAGGGGGCGUUGGGGGGUUGUUAAGUCAGUGGGGAAAGUUUGCUGCUCAACCGUCAAAUUGCAGUUGAAACUGGCAGUCUUUAGUACAGUCGAGGUCGCCGGAAUUCGUGGUGUAGCGG
RNAcentral lists this ribosomal RNA (346 nucleotides) under uncultured bacterium. RNAcentral describes it as "partial 16S ribosomal RNA". It matches the Rfam family "Bacterial small subunit ribosomal RNA", at positions 338 to 681 of the family's 1533-position model. The record is from RNAcentral.